This 345-nucleotide unclassified non-coding RNA is filed under the name soil metagenome. RNAcentral describes it as "partial contains 5.8S ribosomal RNA, internal transcribed spacer 2, and large subunit ribosomal RNA". The stretch from base 1 to 120 matches the Rfam family "5.8S ribosomal RNA", at positions 35 to 154 of the family's 154-position model. The record is from RNAcentral.
GAUGAAGAACGUAGUGAAAUGUGAUACGUAAUGUGAAUUGCAGAAUUCAGUGAAUCAUCGAGUCUUUGAACGCACAUUGCGCCCCCUGGUAUUCCGGGGGGCAUGCCUGUCCGAGCGUCAUUGCUGCCCUCAAGCACGGCUUGUGUGUUGGGCCUCCGUCCUCCUCCCGGGGGACGGGCCCGAAAGGCAGCGGCGGCACCGCGUCCGGUCCUCGAGCGUAUGGGGCUUCGUCACCCGCUCUUGUAGGCCCGGCCGGCGCUUGCCGACACAUCAAUCUUUUUUCCAGGUUGACCUCGGAUCAGGUAGGGAUACCCGCUGAACUUAAGCAUAUCAAUAAGCGGAGGA